This 232-nucleotide long non-coding RNA is filed under the name Musa acuminata (dwarf banana). Its description in RNAcentral is "long non-coding RNA (MACU_LNC006963)". Lineage: Eukaryota; Viridiplantae; Streptophyta; Magnoliopsida; Zingiberales; Musaceae. The record is from RNAcentral.
GAAACAGAAGGAAGGGGUGAUUCAGAAGGUUUUUUGGGAGGUGGAGCAGCAUAUUGAGGUGGUGGAGCAUAAAAAAUUGAACUUUAAGAGCAUAAAAAAUAGAAGCCAUGAACACUCUAAGCAUCCUUCCAAAAAGCCACUGCUCCUGGGUGGUGGAGCAGCAUAUUGAGGUGGUGCCAUUACAGGAAGCCCAUGGUAGUAUCCUACAUCAACAAAAACAUGAUUUCCACAA